This 487-nucleotide ribosomal RNA is filed under the name uncultured bacterium. Its description in RNAcentral is "bacterial SSU rRNA". It matches the Rfam family "Bacterial small subunit ribosomal RNA", at positions 29 to 533 of the family's 1533-position model. The record is from RNAcentral.
AACGAACGCUGGCGGCAUGCCUAACACAUGCAAGUCGAACGAAGCCUUCGGGCUUAGUGGCGCACGGGUGCGUAACGCGUGGGAACCUACCAUCAGGUUCGGAAUAACAGUUAGAAAUGACUGCUAAUACCGGAUAAUGUCUUCGGACCAAAGAUUUAUCGCCUUUUGAUGGGCCCGCGUAAGAUUAGGUAGUUGGUGGGGUAAAGGCCUACCAAGCCGACGAUCUUUAGCUGGUCUGAGAGGAUGAUCAGCCACACUGGGACUGAGACACGGCCCAGACUCCUACGGGAGGCAGCAGUGGGGAAUAUUGGACAAUGGGCGAAAGCCUGAUCCAGCAAUGCCGCGUGAGUGAAGAAGGCCUUCGGGUUGUAAGACUCUUCUAGUCGAGAAGAAAAGGACUGCGGUGAAUAACUAGUAGUUUAUUGACGGUAUCGACAGAAGAAGCACCGGCUAACUACGUGCCAGCAGCCGCGGUAAAGUGACUACU